GAUGAACGCUGGCGGCGUGCCUAAUACAUGCAAGUCGAGCGAACGGACGAGAAGCUUGCUUCUCUGAUGUUAGCGGCGGACGGGUGAGUAACACGUGGAUAACCUACCUAUAAGACUGGGAUAACUUCGGGAAACCGGAGCUAACACCGGAUAAUAUUUUGAACCGCAUGGUUCAAAAGUGAAAGACGGUCUUGCUGUCACUUAUAGAUGGAUCCGCGCUGCAUUAGCUAGUUGGUAAGGUAACGGCUUACCAAGGCAACGAUGCAUAGCCGACCUGAGAGGGUGAUCGGCCACACUGGAACUGAGACACGGUCCAGACUCCUACGGGAGGCAGCAGUAGGGAAUCUUCCGCAAUGGGCGAAAGCCUGACGGAGCAACGCCGCGUGAGUGAUGAAGGUCUUCGGAUCGUAAAACUCUGUUAUUAGGGAAGAACAUAUGUGUAAGUAACUGUGCACAUCUUGACGGUACCUAAUCAGAAAGCCACGGCUAACUACGU
RNAcentral lists this ribosomal RNA (496 nucleotides) under uncultured bacterium. RNAcentral's name for it is "partial 16S ribosomal RNA". It matches the Rfam family "Bacterial small subunit ribosomal RNA", at positions 28 to 506 of the family's 1533-position model. The record is from RNAcentral.